UGCUGGAGGUAUCAGAAGUGCGAAUGCUGACAUAAGUAACGAUAAAGCGGGUGAAAAGCCCGCUCGCCGGAAGACCAAGGGUCCUGUCCAACGUUAAUCGGGGCAGGGUGAGUCGACCCCUAAGGCGAGGCCGAAAGGCGUAGUCGAUGGGAAACAGGUUAAUAUUCCUGUACUUGGUGUUACUGCGAAGGGGGGACGGAGAAGGCUAUGUUAGCCGGGCGACGGUUGUCCCGGUUUAAGCAUGUAGGCUGGUUAUCCAGGCAAAUCCGGAUAAUCAAGGCUGAGGUGUGAUGACGAGGCACUACGGUGCUGAAGUAACAAAUGCCCUGCUUCCAGGAAAAGCCUCUAAGCAUCAGGUAACAUCAAAUCGUACCCCAAACCGACACAGGUGGUCAGGUAGAGAAUACCAAGGCGCUUGAGAGAACUCGGGUGAAGGAACUAGGCAAAAUGGUGCCGUAACUUCGGGAGAAGGCACGCUGGUGUGUAGGUGAAGUCCCUGCGGAUGGAGCUGAGACCAGUCGAAGAUACCAGCUGGCUGCAACUGUUUAUUAAAAACACAGCACUGUGCAAACACGAAAGUGGACGUAUACGGUGUGACGCCUGCCCGGUGCCGGAAGGUUAAUUGAUGGGGUUAUCCGUAAGGAGAAGCUCUUGAUCGAAGCCCCGGUAAACGGCGGCCGUAACUAUAACGGUCCUAAGGUAGCGAAAUUCCUUGUCGGGUAAGUUCCGACCUGCACGAAUGGCGUAAUGAUGGCCAGGCUGUCUCCACCCGAGACUCAGUGAAAUUGAACUCGCUGUGAAGAUGCAGUGUACCCGCGGCAAGACGGAAAGACCCCGUGAACCUUUACUAUAGCUUGACACUGAACAUUGAGCCUUGAUGUGUAGGAUAGGUGGGAGGCUUUGAAGCGUGGACGCCAGUCUGCGUGGAGCCAACCUUGAAAUACCACCCUUUAAUGUUUGAUGUUCUAACGUUGGCCCCUGACCGGGGUUGCGGACAGUGUCUGGUGGGUAGUUUGACUGGGGCGGUCUCCUCCCAAAGCGUAACGGAGGAGCACGAAGGUUAGCUAAUCCUGGUCGGACAUCAGGAGGUUAGUGCAAUGGCAUAAGCUAGCUUGACUGCGAGCGUGACGGCGCGAGCAGGUGCGAAAGCAGGUCAUAGUGAUCCGGUGGUUCUGAAUGGAAGGGCCAUCGCUCAACGGAUAAAAGGUACUCCGGGGAUAACAGGCUGAUACCGCCCAAGAGUUCAUAUCGACGGCGGUGUUUGGCACCUCGAUGUCGGCUCAUCACAUCCUGGGGCUGAAGUAGGUCCCAAGGGUAUGGCUGUUCGCCAUUUAAAGUGGUACGCGAGCUGGGUUUAGAACGUCGUGAGACAGUUCGGUCCCUAUCUGCCGUGGGCGCUGGAGAAUUGAGGGGGGCUGCUCCUAGUACGAGAGGACCGGAGUGGACGCAUCACUGGUGUUCGGGUUGUCAUGCCAAUGGCACUGCCCGGUAGCUAAAUGCGGAAGAGAUAAGUGCUGAAAGCAUCUAAGCACGAAACUUGCCCCGAGAUGAGUUCUCCCUGAGACUUUAAGUCUCCUGAAGGAACGUU
RNAcentral lists this ribosomal RNA (1588 nucleotides) under Klebsiella pneumoniae. RNAcentral's name for it is "partial 23S ribosomal RNA". It matches the Rfam family "Bacterial large subunit ribosomal RNA", at positions 1271 to 2839 of the family's 2925-position model. The record is from RNAcentral. Lineage: Bacteria; Pseudomonadati; Pseudomonadota; Gammaproteobacteria; Enterobacterales; Enterobacteriaceae.